CCUACGGGAGACAGCAGUGGGGAAUAUUGGACAAUGGGGGGAACCCUGAUCCAGCGACGCCGCGUGAGUGAAGAAGUAUUUCGGUAUGUAAAGCUCUAUCAGCAGGGAAGAAAGAAAUGACGGUACCUGACUAAGAAGCCCCGGCUAACUACGUGCCAGCAGCCGCGGUAAUACGUAGGGGGCAAGCGUUAUCCGGAUUUACUGGGUGUAAAGGGAGUGUAGACGGCGAUGCAAGUCUGAAGUGAAAGGCGGGGGCCCAACCCCCGGACUGCUUUGGAAACUGUAUGGCUGGAGUGCAGGAGGGGCAGGCGGAAUGCCUGGUGUAGCGGUGAAAUGCGUAGAUAUCAGGAGGAACACCGGUGGCGAAGGCGGCCUGCUGGACUGCAACUGACGUUGAGGCCCGAAAGCGUGGGGAGCAAACAGGAUUAGAUACCCGGGUAGUC
RNAcentral lists this ribosomal RNA (443 nucleotides) under uncultured bacterium. RNAcentral's name for it is "partial 16S ribosomal RNA". It matches the Rfam family "Bacterial small subunit ribosomal RNA", at positions 338 to 795 of the family's 1533-position model. The record is from RNAcentral.